UUAUGACUUGGGUUACACACGUGUACAAUGGACAGAACAAAGGGUGCAAGACCGCAAGGUUUAGCCAAUCCCAUAAAUCUGUUCUCAGUUCGGAUCGCAGUCUGCAACUCGACUGCGUGAAGCUGGAAUCGCUAGUAAUCGCGGAUCAGCAUGCCGCGGUGAAUACGUUCCCGGGCCUUGUACACACCGCCCGUCACACCACGAGAGUUUGCAACACCCGAAGUCGGUGAGGUAACCUUUAUGGAGCCAGCCGCCGAAGGUGGGGCAGAUGAUGGGGG
RNAcentral lists this ribosomal RNA (278 nucleotides) under Bacillus pumilus. Its description in RNAcentral is "partial 16S ribosomal RNA". It matches the Rfam family "Bacterial small subunit ribosomal RNA", at positions 1202 to 1480 of the family's 1533-position model. The record is from RNAcentral. Lineage: Bacteria; Bacillati; Bacillota; Bacilli; Caryophanales; Bacillaceae.